UACGGAGGGAGCUAGCGUUAUUCGGAAUUACUGGGCGUAAAGCGCACGUAGGCGGCUUUGUAAGUUAGAGGUGAAAGCCUGGAGCUCAACUCCAGAAUUGCCUUUAAGACUGCAUCGCUUGAAUCCAGGGAGAGGUGAGUGGAAUUCCGAGUGUAGAGGUGAAAUUCGUAGAUAUUCGGAAGAAACACCAGUGGCGAAGGCGGCUCACUGGACUGGUAUUGACGCUGAGGUGGCGAAAAGC
Molecule: ribosomal RNA, 241 nt
Filed under: uncultured bacterium
Lineage: Bacteria
Description: partial 16S ribosomal RNA
Rfam family: Bacterial small subunit ribosomal RNA
Source: RNAcentral